GGAUGUGAGGGCGAUCUGGCUGCGACAUCUGUCACCCCAUUGAUCGCCAGGGUUGAUUCGGCUGAUCUGGCUGGCUAGGCGGGUGUCCCCUUCCUCCCUCACCGCUCCAUGUGCGUCCCUCCCGAAGCUGCGCGCUCGGUCGAAGAGGACAACCUUCCCCGCUAGAGGAGGACCGGUCUUCGGGUUCGGUCAAGGGUAUACGAGUAGCUGCGCUCCCCUGCUAGAACCUCCAAACAAGCUCUCAAGGUUGAUUGGGGAAUGGCUAUUUCUUUUUUCAUUCCUAAGUCCACAGUAUUAGAGGAGGGAAAAGUGGGAAGCAGGAGAUCAUAG
This 330-nucleotide small nuclear RNA is filed under the name Microcebus murinus (gray mouse lemur). Its description in RNAcentral is "7SK RNA (ENSMICG00000022503.3)". It matches the Rfam family "7SK RNA". Rfam says of the family: 7SK was discovered as an abundant small nuclear RNA in the mid-70s but a possible function has only recently been suggested. Two independent studies have found that 7SK RNA binds the CDK9/cyclin T complex (known as elongation factor P-TEFb). The record is from RNAcentral. Lineage: Eukaryota; Metazoa; Chordata; Mammalia; Primates; Cheirogaleidae.